UGUUGAAAUGAGCUGAGUAUAAUGUGUGAGAAGGCACAAGGAGUUGAGAGACUGAAAGGGAAAGAAGGUAUGAGUCUUUGGGAGAGUUUGUGAUCAGCCAUAGCCGUACAAUCCGUACUGAAGGUACUGGCCGUACAAGCCGUACAUAUCAAGGGCGAUCACAAACAUUAACCAAAGGUGAAAGUUAAAAUGAGGAGUUAGAGUGGUAAACGGUCUGAGCCUCAGUCUUGGAUAAGAAUCAGACCGUUGGAAGAAGGAUAAGGGUCACCAUGACAGCCUGUCCCAUGCUGGAAAGGUAAAGCAAAAGCAAAGAUGCUUUACACAUGUGAGAUCAGCCAUUGGAUCGAUUUAAACCUGGUCUUGCUCCUGUAUUGACUUCACAUGCUUAGCCUUAUCCUUAGAGUCUUGAAAACCCUUGUAUCAUGUCCUAUAUAUUGUAAACUCUCUCAUUAAUAAAAGAUUACACAGUUUGAGUCAUUCUCUCUCUCUUGUUCUUGAGUGUUCAUCAUGAUUCUUCACUAAUCUUUUCAUAAUCCAAUCUCAUUCUCUUAUUCUCUAAAUCACUCUAACUCUUUCUAUAAAUCUUAUAUGGUAUCAGAGCCAGGU
RNAcentral lists this long non-coding RNA (606 nucleotides) under Brassica napus (rape). RNAcentral describes it as "long non-coding RNA (BNAP_LNC001774)". The record is from RNAcentral. Lineage: Eukaryota; Viridiplantae; Streptophyta; Magnoliopsida; Brassicales; Brassicaceae.